AUAUGUGAUGAUUCACCACAACUUGAACUC
This 30-nucleotide non-coding RNA is filed under the name Cricetulus griseus (Chinese hamster). The record is from RNAcentral. Lineage: Eukaryota; Metazoa; Chordata; Mammalia; Rodentia; Cricetidae.